AAGUCGUAACAAGGUUUCCGUAGGUGAACCUGCGGAAGGAUCAUUAACAAAAUCUAAUUUUACCUUUGUGAAUUGAGUAUUCGAGCAAUCGAGUACUUUUUUACGUUAAGUCUAAAUCUAUACAAUAAUUAUAAUUAUAAUUUUUAACAAUGGAUCUCUAGGCUCUU
RNAcentral lists this unclassified non-coding RNA (167 nucleotides) under fungal sp. Its description in RNAcentral is "partial internal transcribed spacer region". The stretch from base 1 to 46 matches the Rfam family "Eukaryotic small subunit ribosomal RNA", at positions 1786 to 1831 of the family's 1831-position model. The record is from RNAcentral. Lineage: Eukaryota; Fungi.